GGCCGAGGACAGCACCAGGCUGCUGCUGGUCCAGCACACGGGAGCGGCCGGCCCGACCCACUCACACCUAGCACCAGGUCCUAAAGGAAGCUCCUCAUCAGAGCCCGAUGGCCCCAUCUGCAUCAGCUGUGUGACCAUGUGCCUGUCACCAGGUCUCUCCAGGCCUCCCCCUUGUGUAACAUAAAUCAGUCUGAUAAAACCCUAACCUUGCCCUUGGCCCUAGACCACAUGGGACAGCGACUGCCCACAGGAGACCCUGGCCAAGGGCAGUCCAGGCUGUGGUGACCUUGGCUUCAAACAAGAAAAGAGCUGACAGACAGACCAGCGCCCUCCUUCUAAGCCUCUGUGGAAGAGAGCAUCCCUUUGCUUCAAAAGAAGGAGAAAGAAACUGAAGGCUUGUUCUUUCCUUUUAGCACCACUGAAGCCCAGUUAGAGUCUCAAACUUAGAACUUGGCAUCGCCACAGUUUCUCUAAAGCCAGGAUUCUAGUAAGGCGGGAUACCUAGGAGGAGAGGCUACCCCUGGUUGGCAGUCUAGCUUGUCACUCAAAGUGUAGCAAACCAAUAAGUAAUCGAUGCCACAAACUAAAGUGUAGGUCUGGUCCACGGCACUAAUGCCACAAGAGGUUAGCCAUGGACUGACUGCUCGAGGGUCUUCUUCGCCUACCAGUCUCUUGCUUCACUCCAAGGGGAAUGACAAAUGGUGGCGGGGAGUCAGGUCUGGCUCACUCACUCAUUAUUAUUGACAGAGCAGUCGAUGUGCUGCCCUGUGGCAUGAGAGUCAAAAAGUCAUGCUGUGGUUUGACUGUGUCUCCCAGAAGUUCAUGUGGUAGAAACCUUAACUCCAAACGCAUAUGCUUGUGGUAUUUGGUGGUGGGGACUUAGGGAGAUAAUUAGGGACAGAUGAGGUCAUGAGGGUGGGUUCCCUUGAUUAGUGGCUUUAUAAGAAGAGGAAUAGAGACCCAAGUUAUUGCACUCGCUCUGUCUACAGGGGAUGCCUCCUACCAGUUUAGGCUGUAGCAACAAAGCCAGAUCUGAACUUUCCAU
Molecule: long non-coding RNA, 1045 nt
Filed under: Marmota monax (woodchuck)
Lineage: Eukaryota; Metazoa; Chordata; Mammalia; Rodentia; Sciuridae
Source: RNAcentral